This 200-nucleotide long non-coding RNA is filed under the name Vitis vinifera (wine grape). RNAcentral's name for it is "long non-coding RNA (VVIN_LNC002929)". Lineage: Eukaryota; Viridiplantae; Streptophyta; Magnoliopsida; Vitales; Vitaceae. The record is from RNAcentral.
GAAAAUCCUAAGUGCACUCAUGCAUUCAUCUUACAUUAGUUUCCUAUGAUCUCAAGUCUUCCAAGCGUCUCGAUCUUGUAUCCAUUUGGUCCUUUGAUGAAUUUUCGAGUUUAUACCUGAGAUUCUUAAACAUUAAACCAAUUAGUUACUUAACCAUGGUUUGUUAUCAUCAAAACCCGAUUAGGAGAACCCUUGGGCUA